GAUGAAGAACGUAGCGAAAUGCGAUAAGUAAUGUGAAUUGCAGAAUUCAGUGAAUCAUCGAAUCUUUGAACGCAUCUUGCGCUCCUUGGUAUUCUGAGGAGCAUGCCUGUUUGAGUGUCAUUAAAUUCUCAACUACACUGACUUUGAAUUGGUGUGGCUUGGAUUUGGGGGGAAAAUUGUUGUGGGCUUUUUGUAUAGUCUGCUCCCCUGAAAUUGAUUAGCGGUACCUUUGUGGAACUGUCUACAGGUGUGAUAAUUAUCUACAUCUUAGACAUCUGCUGGAAUGCUGCUUUCUAAACCUUACUUGUAUUGACAAUCUUGACCUCAAAUCAGGUAGGACUACCCGCUGGACUUAAGCAUAUCAAUAAGCGGAGGA
RNAcentral lists this unclassified non-coding RNA (376 nucleotides) under soil metagenome. RNAcentral's name for it is "partial contains 5.8S ribosomal RNA, internal transcribed spacer 2, and large subunit ribosomal RNA". The stretch from base 1 to 120 matches the Rfam family "5.8S ribosomal RNA", at positions 35 to 154 of the family's 154-position model. The record is from RNAcentral.